Molecule: RNA transcript, 2776 nt
Organism: Coregonus clupeaformis (lake whitefish)
Lineage: Eukaryota; Metazoa; Chordata; Actinopteri; Salmoniformes; Salmonidae
Gene name: mitotic checkpoint protein BUB3
Exons: 8
Source: RefSeq, a predicted model, not a curated record
GCGGAGCGUCGGUGGAGAGGAGCGAACAUAUUAGUCUAUAAGAUAAACAACGAGUUAUUUGUCCAAUUUUAUACUCAAGGAGGUACUUCAGCGCAAACCAAGAACGAUGACUGGUUCGAACGAGUACAAACUGAACCAGGGCCCGGAGGACAGCAUCUCUGCUGUGAAGUUCAGCCCCAGUACCGGCCAGUUUCUUCUAGUGUCCUCUUGGGACUGUACUGUCCGGCUCUACGAUGUGGGAGGCAACUCCAUGAGGAUCAAGUAUUCACACCUGGCACCUGUGCUGGAUUGUGCUUUCUAUGACCCUACACAUGCCUGGAGCGGAGGCUUGGACACACAGUUGAAAACCCACGACUUGAAUACAGAUCAAGAUACAAUAGUUGGGACACACGAUGCCCCCAUUCGCUGUGUGGAAUACUGUCCAGAGGUCAACGUCAUGGUAACAGGUAGCUGGGACAGGUCAGUCAGGCUGUGGGACCCCAGGACUCCCUGCAACGCUGGCACCUUCACACAGCCUGAAAAGGUGUACACCCUCUCUGUGGCUGGAGACCGUCUGAUAGUGGGGACAGCAGGGAGAAGGGUGUUGGUCUGGGACCUGAGGAAUAUGGGCUAUGUCCAGCAGAGGAGAGAGUCCAGUCUGAAAUACCAGACACGUGCCAUCAGGGCCUUCCCCAACAAACAGGGCUACGUCCUGAGCUCCAUAGAAGGGCGUGUUGCCGUGGAGUACCUGGACCCCAGCCAAGAGGUGCAGAAGAAGAAGUACGCCUUCAAGUGCCACAGGCUGAAGGAGAACGGGAUCGAACAGGUCUACCCUGUCAACGCAAUCUCCUUCCACAGUGUUCACAACACCUUCGCCACAGGUGGCUCAGACGGCUUUGUCAACAUCUGGGACCCUUUCAACAAGAAGCGUCUGUGCCAGUUCCACCGCUACCCUAGCUCUAUCGCCUCCCUGGCCUUCAGUAACGACGGCUCCACGCUGGCCAUCGCCUCCUCCUACAUGCAGGAGCAGGGAGACAUCAGCCACCCCGAGGACACCAUCUUCAUCCGCCAGGUCACAGACGCGGAGACUAAGCCCAAGUGAAGCCGGUCAGUCUUCUGUCUGUUUCACACAAUAGGGCCCCGGCCUGCUUGGGAACCGUGCUGGCUCAGGUCGUUUCUUUUUCACGUUGUCCUUUUUUCCCGGCACGGUUAGCUCCAUCGUGUACUGCAUGGUGGAUCCAGGCCAGUACGGCUCGGCUUGGUUUGGCUUGGCCCUAUAGUGUGAAGCAGGCCACUCCAGUCUGCAUCCCAGUGGUCUCGUCUGGACUGCACCGACACAAUGCCGCUCACACUGCUUCUUCUUUGGUACGUGUGAAUGGCAGCAUUGACAAGGAGCAGGCAGCUGGUGUCCAUCUGACCGUCUGUAUCUAGCUGUCUUUCUCUAGCUCUUCUCCACCGUUUUCAAUAUCCCAUAGUUGACGACAAAAUGAGGACUUGGAGAAAAUGGCUACCCCCUUAUCUGUUCAUGUAUUUGGAUGUGUGGUUCAAGAGUCCUAAAGGAAGCUGACUGGCUCAAUCUAUACAGUACAACCUUCGCUGACCAUCAUUCAUCAGCCUAUAUUUGUUGGAUUUCACGUUUUUUUUACUGUGCCCGUUUUUAUUAGUACUUAAAAAUAAAUGUGCUUUAUUAACAAACUGUAAAAGGACUACACCCACGUCUUCAGUUGUAUCUAGCCCCACCCCCUCGCAUAAACUGGUGACAUUAGGUUCAGUUGUAUCUAGCCCCACCCCCUCGCAUAAACUGGUGACAUUAGGUUCAGUUGUAUCUAGCCCCCACCCCCUCGCAUAAACUGGUGAAAUUAGGUUCAGUUGUAUCUAGCCCCACCCCCUCGCAUAAACUGGUGAAAUUAGGUUCAGUUGUAUCUAGCCCCACCCCCUCGCAUAAACUGGUGAAAUUAGGUUCAGUUGUAUCUAGCCCCACCCCCUCGCAUGAACAGGUGAAAUUAGGUUGUUGCAGCGUUCUUCUCAAACUAAACUAGACCAAUUGAAAAGGAAUAAAGUUUUUCUCUAAUGACAUGACUAUUGAUUUGUCUAAUAGUCUUUGUUUACGGAUAAAGACAAAAUCCAAUUUGUUUGCGGUAAUGCAGUUUCCAAUAAUCAAUAAAGACAUGAUAAUGACUCCAGAGAGCCUGUUCUAACAGGUUAAUUGAUGUGGCAGAGCGUUUUGUGGGUCCUUCUGUGAUGAGAUGCAGAACUAUGAACCCACUGCUUCAGAUGGGUAGUUUCUAAAGCAGUUGGCAAAGCAUAAAGACGGGCAACUCUCAGGACCUGUUUCUCUCUUAAAGUGAAUUACAGAAGCCCGUAACGAGGUUUCAGCCCUGUCCCCCUCCAUAUCAUAACAGAUGGGGCAGGCCAUUCAUUCAUAGAUUAAAAAAGCUGAAUUGAGCCAGAAGCUUUGUUUUUCAGUUGUCUGGUUUCUGUCAAUGGUGAAGGAGGCAGUUGAGGGGAAAUCUGAGGGACUUUGGUAUUCUGUUUUCACUCUGCUCAAUUGAUUUGAUUGUAAGAAGGGCCUGCUUUUUUUACCCAGUCUUUUAUUUGACUGCGUAAGGAAAGUGAAAAGAAGAGAGAUUGUGUUCUGGCUUUCCCAGUGGAGUGGGACGGCUGAGUUGGUUACUGUCUCAACACUGGUCCUUGGAAUGGUUUCUUCUCAAGUCAAGUUGACCUUACAUUUAUAUUUACAUUUUAGUCAUUUAGCAGACGCUCUUAUCCAGAGCGACUUACAGUUAGUGAGUGCAUA